UCAUGGUUCAGGGGUGGAAAUGGUGGCGAGUGGCGAACGGGUGAGUAAUACAUCGGAACGUGUCCUGUAGUGGGGGAUAGCCCGGCGAAAGCCGGAUUAAUACCGCAUACGCUCUACGGAGGAAAGGGGGGGAUCUUAGGACCUCCCGCUACAGGGGCGGCCGAUGGCAGAUUAGCUAGUUGGUGGGGUAAAGGCCUACCAAGGCGACGAUCUGUAGCUGGUCUGAGAGGACGACCAGCCACACUGGGACUGAGACACGGCCCAGACUCCUACGGGAGGCAGCAGUGGGGAAUUUUGGACAAUGGGGGCAACCCUGAUCCAGCAAUGCCGCGUGUGUGAAGAAGGCCUUCGGGUUGUAAAGCACUUUUGUCCGGAAAGAAAACGCCGUGGUUAAUACCCGUGGCGGAUGACGGUACCGGAAGAAUAAGCACCGGCUAACUACGUGCCAGCAGCCGCGGUAAUACGUAGGGUGCAAGCGUUAAUCGGAAUUACUGGGCGUAAAGCGUGCGCAGGCGGUCCGCUAAGACAGAUGUGAAAUCCCCGGGCUUAACCUGGGAACUGCAUUUGUGACUGGCGGGCUAGAGUAUGGCAGAGGGGGGUAGAAUUCCACGUGUAGCAGUGAAAUGCGUAGAGAUGUGGAGGAAUACCGAUGGCGAAGGCAGCCCCCUGGGCCAAUACUGACGCUCAUGCACGAAAGCGUGGGGAGCAAACAGGAUUAGAUACCCUGGUAGUCCACGCCCUAAACGAUGUCAACUAGUUGUCGGGUCUUCAUUGACUUGGUAACGUAGCUAACGCGUGAAGUUGACCGCCUGGGGAGUACGGUCGCAAGAUUAAAACUCAAAGGAAUUGACGGGGACCCGCACAAGCGGUGGAUGAUGUGGAUUAAUUCGAUGCAACGCGAAAAACCUUACCUACCCUUGACAUGUAUGGAAUCCUGCUGAGAGGUGGGAGUGCCCGAAAGGGAGCCAUAACACAGGUGCUGCAUGGGUUUGUCGGCCAGCUU
RNAcentral lists this ribosomal RNA (1003 nucleotides) under Paraburkholderia sp. Its description in RNAcentral is "bacterial SSU rRNA". It matches the Rfam family "Bacterial small subunit ribosomal RNA", at positions 69 to 1065 of the family's 1533-position model. Lineage: Bacteria; Pseudomonadati; Pseudomonadota; Betaproteobacteria; Burkholderiales; Burkholderiaceae. The record is from RNAcentral.